RNAcentral lists this ribosomal RNA (944 nucleotides) under Coprinopsis lagopus. Its description in RNAcentral is "LSU rRNA". It matches the Rfam family "Eukaryotic large subunit ribosomal RNA", at positions 38 to 966 of the family's 3401-position model. The record is from RNAcentral. Lineage: Eukaryota; Fungi; Basidiomycota; Agaricomycetes; Agaricales; Psathyrellaceae.
GCAUAUCAAUAAGCGGAGGAAAAGAAACUAACAAGGAUUCCCCUAGUAACUGCGAGUGAAGCGGGAAAAGCUCAAAUUUAAAAUCUGGCGGUCUUUGGCCGUCCGAGUUGUAAUCUAGAGAAGCGUUACCCGCGCCGGACCGUGUAUAAGUCUCCUGGAAUGGAGCGUCAUAGAGGGUGAGAAUCCCGUCUUUGACACGGACUACCGGGGCAUUGUGGUGCGCUCUCAAAGAGUCGAGUUGUUUGGGAAUGCAGCUCAAAAUGGGUGGUAAAUUCCAUCUAAAGCUAAAUAUUGGCGAGAGACCGAUAGCGAACAAGUACCGUGAGGGAAAGAUGAAAAGAACUUUGGAAAGAGAGUUAAAAAGUACGUGAAAUUGCUGAAAGGGAAACGCUUGGAGUCAGUCGCGUUGGCCGGAAAUCAACCUUGCUUCUGCUUGGUGUACUUUCUGGUUGACGGGCCAGCAUCAGUUUUGACCGGUGGAAAAAGUUCAAGGGAAUGUGGCAUCUUUGGAUGUGUUAUAGCCCUUGUUCGUAUGCACCGAUUGGGACUGAGGAAUUCAGCACGCCGAAAGGCCGGGUCUUUGACCACGUUCGUGCUUAGGAUGCUGGCAUAAUGGCUUUAAUCGACCCGUCUUGAAACACGGACCAAGGAGUCUAACAUGCCUGCGAGUGUUUGGGUGGAAAACCCGAGCGCGUAAUGAAAGUGAAAGUUGGGAUCCUUGUCAUGGGGAGCACCGACGCCCGGACCAGAAGUAUUCUGACGGCUCCGCGGUAAAGCAUGUAUGUUGGGACCCGAAAGAUGGUGAACUAUGCCUGAAUAGGGUGAAGCCAGAGGAAACUCUGGUGGAGGCUCGUAGCGAUUCUGACGUGCAAAUCGAUCGUCGAAUUUGGGUAUAGGGGGCGAAAGACUAAUCGAACCCAUCUAGUAGCUGGUUCCUGCCGAAG